RNAcentral lists this ribosomal RNA (258 nucleotides) under Microbacteriaceae bacterium ISO354_OTU88394. RNAcentral's name for it is "partial 16S ribosomal RNA". It matches the Rfam family "Bacterial small subunit ribosomal RNA", at positions 29 to 289 of the family's 1533-position model. The record is from RNAcentral. Lineage: Bacteria; Bacillati; Actinomycetota; Actinomycetes; Micrococcales; Microbacteriaceae.
ACGAACGCUGGCGGCGUGCUUAACACAUGCAAGUCGAACGAUGAAGCCAGCUUGCUGGUGGAUUAGUGGCGAACGGGUGAGUAACACGUGAGUAACCUGCCCUUGACUCUGGGAUAAGCGUUGGAAACGACGUCUAAUACCGGAUAUGACCUUCAACCGCAUGGUUUGUUGGUGGAAAGAAUUUUGGUCAAGGAUGGACUCGCGGCCUAUCAGGUUGUUGGUGAGGUAAUGGCUCACCAAGCCUACGACGGGUAGCCG